CGUAGGGUGCAAGCAUUGUCCGGAUUUAUUGGGCGUAAAGAGCUCGUAGGCGGCUUGUCACGUCGGAUGUGAAAACUCGGGGACUCAACCCCGAGCCUGCAUUCGAUACGGGCUAGCUAGAGUGUUGCAGGGGAGACUGGAAUUCCUGGUGUAGCGGUGAAAUGCGCAGAUAUCAGGAGGAACACCGGUGGCGAAGGCGGGUCUCUGGGCAACUACUGACGCUGAGGAGCGAAAGCGUGGGGAGCGAACAGGAUUAGAUACCCUGGUAGUCCACGCCGUAAACGUUGGGCGCGUAGGUGUGGGGAACCUUCCACGUUCUCCGUGCCGUAGCUAACGCAUUAAGCCGCCCCGCCGUGGGGAGUACGGCCGCAAGGACUA
Molecule: ribosomal RNA, 378 nt
Filed under: uncultured organism
Description: bacterial SSU rRNA
Rfam family: Bacterial small subunit ribosomal RNA
Source: RNAcentral